This 72-nucleotide transfer RNA is filed under the name Camelus bactrianus (Bactrian camel). It matches the Rfam family "tRNA". From Rfam's summary of the family: Transfer RNA (tRNA) molecules are approximately 80 nucleotides in length. Their secondary structure includes four short double-helical elements and three loops (D, anti-codon, and T loops). Lineage: Eukaryota; Metazoa; Chordata; Mammalia; Artiodactyla; Camelidae. The record is from Rfam by way of RNAcentral. RNAcentral also lists the same sequence under 2 other names.
GAGGGUAUAACUCAGUGGUGGAGCGCAUGCUUAGCAUGCACGAGGCUCUGGAUUCAAUUCCUAGUACCGCCA